CAGAUUUGUGCUUUCUGCUGAAAGGAGAAAAAGACUUGGGGCUAAAAGCAAAUGCCUUAAGCUUCACCCAAAGACUGGGGAGAGAGCUGCUGGCAUGGAAGUGAGCUGGGUUUGUCCGUGGGAACUGUGAGUAAGGUUGCCAUCACGAAAGCCAAAGUGGAUUUCUCCGGGGUGGUGUGCCUGCCCCCUUCCGUCAUUGCUGGGAA
This is a long non-coding RNA of Zonotrichia leucophrys gambelii, 206 nucleotides long. RefSeq lists it as uncharacterized. The transcript is spliced from 3 exons. The record is from RefSeq and is a predicted model, not a curated record. Lineage: Eukaryota; Metazoa; Chordata; Aves; Passeriformes; Passerellidae.